Molecule: transfer RNA, 82 nt
Filed under: Helianthus annuus (common sunflower)
Lineage: Eukaryota; Viridiplantae; Streptophyta; Magnoliopsida; Asterales; Asteraceae
Description: tRNA-Met
Rfam family: tRNA
About the family: Transfer RNA (tRNA) molecules are approximately 80 nucleotides in length. Their secondary structure includes four short double-helical elements and three loops (D, anti-codon, and T loops). Further hydrogen bonds mediate the characteristic L-shaped molecular structure. tRNAs have two regions of fundamental functional importance: the anti-codon, which is responsible for specific mRNA codon recognition, and the 3' end, to which the tRNAs corresponding amino acid is attached (by aminoacyl-tRNA synthetases). tRNAs cope with the degeneracy of the genetic code in two manners: having more than one tRNA (with a specific anti-codon) for a particular amino acid; and 'wobble' base-pairing, i.e. permitting non-standard base-pairing at the 3rd anti-codon position.
Source: RNAcentral
CGGCGCGGGGUAGAGCAGUUUGGUAGCUCGCAAGGCUCAUAACCUUGAGGUCACGGGUUCAAAUCCUGUCUCUGCUUGAACG